GAUGAACGCUGGCGGCGUGCCUAAUACAUGCAAGUCGAGCGAACUGAUUAGAAGCUUGCUUCUAUGACGUUAGCGGCGGACGGGUGAGUAACACGUGGGCAACCUGCCUGUAAGACUGGGAUAACUUCGGGAAACCGAAGCUAAUACCGGAUAGAAUCUUCUCCUUCAUGGGAGAUGAUUGAAAGAUGGGUUCGGCUAUCACUUACAGAUGGGCCCGCGGUGCAUUAGCUAGUUGGUGAGGUAACGGCUCACCAAGGCAACGAUGCAUAGCCGACAUGGGAGGGUGGUCGGCCACACUGGGACUGAGACACGGCCCAGCCUCCUACGGGAGGCAGCAGUAGGGAAUCUUCCGCAAUGGACGAAAGUCUGACGGAGCAACGCCGCGUGAGUGAUGAAGGCUUUCGGGUCGUAAAACUCUGUUGUUAGGGAAGAACAAGUACGAGAGUAACUGCUCGUACCUUGACGGUACCUAACCAGAAAGCCACGGCUAACUACGUGCCAGCCGCCGCGGUAA
Molecule: ribosomal RNA, 514 nt
Filed under: uncultured bacterium
Lineage: Bacteria
Description: partial 16S ribosomal RNA
Rfam family: Bacterial small subunit ribosomal RNA
Source: RNAcentral